Molecule: ribosomal RNA, 770 nt
Filed under: uncultured bacterium
Lineage: Bacteria
Description: bacterial SSU rRNA
Rfam family: Bacterial small subunit ribosomal RNA
Source: RNAcentral
AGAGUUUGAUCCUGGCUCAGGACGAACGCUGGCGGCGUGCUUAACACAUGCAAGUCGAACGGAAAGGCCCUUCGGGGUACUCGAGUGGCGAACGGGUGAGUAACACGUGGGUGAUCUGCCCUGCACUUUGGGAUAAGCCUGGGAAACUGGGUCUAAUACCGAAUAUGACCAUGCGCCUCCUGGUGUGUGGUGGAAAGCUUUUGCGGUGUGGGAUGGGCCCGCGGCCUAUCAGCUUGUUGGUGGGGUAAUGGCCUACCAAGGCGACGACGGGUAGCCGGCCUGAGAGGGUGACCGGCCACACUGGGACUGAGAUACGGCCCAGACUCCUACGGGAGGCAGCAGUGGGAAUAUUGCACAAUGGGCGCAAGCCUGAUGCAGCGACGCCGCGUGAGGGAUGACGGCCUUCGGGUUGUAAACCUCUGUCAGCACAGACGAAGCGCAAGUGACGGUAUGUGCAGAAGAAGGACCGGCCAACUACGUGCCAGCAGCCGCGGUAAUACGUAGGGUCCGAGCGUUGUCCGGAAUUACUGGGCGUAAAGAGCUCGUAGGUGGUUUGUCGCGUUGUUCGUGAAAACUCACAGCUUAACUGUGGGCGUGCGGGCGAUACGGGCAGACUUGAGUACUGCAGGGGAGACUGGAAUUCCUGGUGUAGCGGUGGAAUGCGCAGAUAUCAGGAGGAACACCGGUGGCGAAGGCGGGUCUCUGGGCAGUAACUGACGCUGAGGAGCGAAAGCGUGGGGAGCGAACAGGAUUAGAUACCCUGGUAGUCC